GUAUAACAAAGAUGAUGAUUUCCACACUUCAAUCAAGAAUGUCCUUAUCAACAACUUUGUAAGACUAUGGCAAAUUAUAUUCAAAACUGAAGAGAAUAUAUUCAAAAACUUUUCAGUAAUGUAUGCAAAGGUUCCAAAGCAAGCCAACGCUGACGAUUGCGGAGUGUUCACUAUGAAAUUUAUGGAGAUUUUCAAACCAGAGGUGGACACAUGCUCAUUAUUUUCCAAAGAAGAUAUUAUUCAUAUCAGGAUUCAGUUUGCCAACCAGAUCUAUUUCUGCAAAAGGAACAAUGUGGAUAAAUCAGUUGUUGUCAACUACAAGA
Long non-coding RNA from Lolium rigidum, 323 nucleotides. RefSeq lists it as uncharacterized. NCBI's taxonomy places the organism in Eukaryota, Viridiplantae, Streptophyta, Magnoliopsida, Poales, Poaceae. The record is from RefSeq and is a predicted model, not a curated record. The transcript has 3 exons.